AUCUACUUAUUUAGACAUAGGAAUCACUAGGACUAGGAGAGUGGAGGCAGCAUCCAGCUACUCAUUGAAGCUGGUGGGUCUUUCGGAGAUUAAGGCAGGGAGUAAUGUUAGAUCGUAUGAAUCAGAUGUAUUUACUGCUUCAGGGUAUCAAUGGAGAUUGAUCUUGUACCCUCUUGGCAACGACAAUGACGGUGGGAAAAUCACUUCUCAAUCUAUGUAAGACUAGAAACUUUGGUUUCAAAUCUUCCGAAGAAUUGGGAGAUUCAAGUGGAUAUGAAGUUCUUGGUUUUUAAUCAGAACCAUAAAAAGUAUUUGACAGUCCAAGAUGGGAUCUGAAACGAUACAAUGAAGCUAAAAAAAUAGUUUGGUAUAGCUCAGUUUAUCGAACUCUCAACGCUGAAAGAUCAAAAGAAUGGGUAUGCAGUGAAGGACACUUGUACCUUUGGCGUUGAUAUUGCUAUUUUGAAACCUGCUGAGAAACUCGAGACUGUUACCUUCUUACACAACCCUCCAAACAACAAAUUCACUUGGAAGAUCUUUCAUUUCUCGAACCUGAGUGACCAGGAAUUUGUUCUGUCUGAUCAGUUCCUUGCUGGGCAGAGAUACUGGAAAAUUAGAGUUGAUCCGAAAAGGGAACGAGAGGGGGUGUAUAUAUUGUUCCCCAAACCCAUUUGCCAAACUGUGCUAUCGCCAGCAGUUUACGUAAUGUUCAAAUUGAAAAUUCGGAACCAACUAAACGGGAACCACAUAGAGAGAACUGAUAUCUGUAAUUUAUUUUUGUCGAGUGGUGACCGGACGUGGUCAUGGGGUACCAAAACUAAUAACACAGAAGGAUCUGUACGAUAAAUCCAAAGGGUUCUUGGUGAAAGACACCAUCAUUGUUGAAGUUGAAAUGCUUUGUAUGAGCCAGACCCAAGUCAUCUCCAAGUAGAUGACUAUUAUCACUUAUUUUGCUCUGCAUAUAUAUAUAUAUGUGUGUGUGUGUGUGUGUGUGUUGGUGUGAGAGAAACCUUGAGUUUCUGAAUAGAGGAAAUACACUAUGUUGAAUGCCUCUAGUUAUGUUUCAUUUGCGUUUGUAUGUUUACGUGAAUUGUUU
Molecule: long non-coding RNA, 1096 nt
Organism: Brassica oleracea var. oleracea
Lineage: Eukaryota; Viridiplantae; Streptophyta; Magnoliopsida; Brassicales; Brassicaceae
Exons: 6
Source: RefSeq, a predicted model, not a curated record